Long non-coding RNA from Geospiza fortis (medium ground-finch), 2353 nucleotides. The record is from Ensembl. NCBI's taxonomy places the organism in Eukaryota, Metazoa, Chordata, Aves, Passeriformes, Thraupidae.
CCAAAGCCAGCUCCAAAGCAAUCACAAGUCUUUCCUUUGUCUUCAGUGGGGUUUGGAUCAGGCCCAAAGCUCAUAAGCAGUUUUCCACCAAGAGUUCCCGGCACUUAUGUCAGUCACUGGCAACAAGGGAAGGGAUAAAUCCAGCAUCGGCUGCUUCAGAUGCCAGGCACAUUCUCUGUGAGUGUGUGUGUGUCACAGGGUGGAUAUAAACUCCCUCAGUCUGCCUGGGCUCCUGCUAAAUUGCAUGACAGCUUGCAAAGGGCAGGCAGCUACAGGGCUGCUUCCAGGACUGACCUCGACGGAUUUCAGUCUGAAAAGAGCUGGGAUGUUCUGUGCAGUGCCCAAGAAAACCUCUCUCAGGAGCAGCUGCCUGGGCACGGGGAAGGAGCUGGGAUGGCUGCCUGGUCAGACUGGCACAGAGUACAGGAGGAUUUCCUCAGCAUCCCACAAGGCAAGGCAGGGGCAAGGGCUGCUCAGUCCCAGGAGGCCCCAGGUGCUGGUGUCACCACUGAACCCCCAGUGAUGGGGAGCCAAGCUUCACCUGCAGCCCCAGGCCCUGCACAGUGAGAGGUCUCCCAGCACCCAGCAGCAGCAAAUCAGGCUCAGUGCCAUAAACAGGGUCUAGAACAAAUAGGUUGGCUGACCAUGAACUGCUUGGAGGAAAAGGAAGCAGCAUGAUAAGGGUAUUAAUGUGGAUUGGAUCCUGCCCUCAGGGCCACAGCUGGCCCAGGCACAGCCAGAGAACACAGCCAGCAUUGUGCAUCCUUGAGUCCACAACCACCACGCAGAGCACAGGUUGUCUGAACUAAUGGGUCUUCAUAGGAUCCUUCUGGUUGAGAGAUGAUAUCACAGAUCAUAUCUGUGUCCACUUUAAGUCUGGGCUGUUGCUAAGAGAAAAACAAUUCUUGGCAAAUUCCUCGAAGUGCUUGCCUCCUACAGUUUGGCUGAAGACAGUUUGUUCAAGAACCAUGGGUAGGUGUGAGUUUCUGUCUCUUCGCCUUCUGAGAAUUGUUCUCGCCAGUGCAAAACUGAAGAUGAUAAUGCUCCCAUUAAAAAUGAGGUGAAUGCUCAGGCUGACAUGAGUGGGUGGAAAGGACUUCAAACAGGAUGAAUCUGGGGACAAACCUAUCCUUGCCAAGACAAACAGCUGCAGAGAGCUGCAGGAAAGAAAAAAGGGCACUGCUGUUCAAAAUGAUUUGGUCACAUAAGGCUGAUUGAGGCUGCAUAUCCAUCAAUUCAUAACAAAAACCAGUGACUUUCAUAUGAAGAAAGAAAAGGUACAUCAUAUGUCACACAGGAGGACUGCAGAACUGAUAUCAUUAGGACAACAGACUGAUAUUCCAUAGGAGAGACAGAGAUAUGGGAUGAGCACAGAGCAGAAAGCUCUCACUCUCCUUCCUACAUCUGUCUUUCAUUUGCUUUGCCUCUAUCUGCCCGUUGUUGAUGUUUUCUCACAUUUUCUUGGUCCCUUUUUUCAAGCUGUAUUUCAUUCCAAGGAGGCAGGGAGCUCCAGGUGUGAAUGAGGGCUGUGAGCAUGAACUCACUGUCACAGUUAUUAUUGUUAUCAUUCCUCUGAAAACCAGCCUGGUGGAGGUUUGGCUCUGUGGAAUUUGUUCUGCUGUUUUAACUGUGUCCUUGUGAAAUGUGGAAAAUGGUAUGAAAGUGGAAUGAAAAUGUGGAAAGGGGAAUGAAGUGCAGUGCUUUGCACGAUGGCUUGCACCCAAAGGUGCAGCCUUAGCUAGUGAAGUGCUGGCGUGCUGUGGAACAAGAUUUUGAGAUUGCAGGAUUGGGACCUGCUGCUCAAAUGAAUCAAGUGUUCAGGACUUGCUGAUUUUCUUUGUAAUGGGAGAAACUGUAUGUUAAAAAAGCCAAUACAGAAUUUUCAAUGCUCUAUAUAGUUUCAAUGUUUUCUAUUUUAAGAUCCCAGUGAUAUUCAGUAAUUGUAUUCCCACCACCCAGCUAUUUAGCAAUCUGAACAGAUACUAUUGUUGCUAUUACUAUUGUUUCCAUUACUGGCGGUAGACUUGUGGAUGUCUGGUUAUUUUUGUACACCCCCUAUGUACACCUCACUGGGCACAGAUAUUUUAAUGCAUUUUUCAGUGGUUCCCUCUGCUCCAGUUGAACCUCUGGAGAUGUUAUGGAGCCCCUUUGUGUGUGUUGGAUGAACGCAUCUCUGGGAUCAGUCUGGAGCAGACAACUGCCAUACCAUAGAGCUGAGCUCCAGCUUUCCCCCAGCCUGGCAUGAUGUGUUCAGUCCCUCCACAAAUCAGGUGCAGCUCAGCCCUUAUCCAGCGGGGAUUCAGUGCACAAGCAAUGGUCUGUUUUCCCUCUGAUCUGCUGCCUCAAAUAUCCC